This 109-nucleotide small nuclear RNA is filed under the name Zalophus californianus (California sea lion). Lineage: Eukaryota; Metazoa; Chordata; Mammalia; Carnivora; Otariidae. The record is from RNAcentral.
GUGCUCGCUUUGGCAGCACACAGACUACAGUUGGAACCAUACAGAGAAGGUUAGCAUGGCCCCUGUGCAAGGAGGACACACACAAAUUUGUGAAGUAUUCCAUAUUUUU